This 448-nucleotide ribosomal RNA is filed under the name uncultured bacterium. RNAcentral's name for it is "bacterial SSU rRNA". It matches the Rfam family "Bacterial small subunit ribosomal RNA", at positions 330 to 792 of the family's 1533-position model. The record is from RNAcentral.
CCCAGACUCCUACGGGAGGCAGCAGUGGGGAAUAUUGGGCAAUGGGCGCAAGCCUGACCCAGCAACGCCGCGUGACGGAAGAAGGCUUUCGGGUUGUAAACUUCUUUUAUGAGGGACGAAGGAAGUGACGGUACCUCUUGAAUAAGCCACAGCUAACUACGUGCCAGCAGCCGCGGUAAUACGUAGGUGGCAAGCGUUAUCCGGAUUUAUUGGGUGUAAAGGGCGUGCAGGCGGGAGCGCAAGUCAGAUGUGAAAACUCAGGGCUCAACCCUGAGCCUGCAUUUGAAACUGUGUUUCUUGAGUGCUGGAGAGGCAAUCGGAAUUCCGUGUGUAGCGGUGAAAUGCGUAGAUAUACGGAGGAACACCAGUGGCGAAGGCGGAUUGCUGGACAGUAACUGACGCUGAGGCGCGAAAGCGUGGGGAGCAAACAGGAUUAGAUACCCCCGUA